RNAcentral lists this unclassified non-coding RNA (2049 nucleotides) under Acromyrmex echinatior (Panamanian leafcutter ant). RNAcentral describes it as "muscle LIM protein Mlp84B-like, transcript variant X2". The record is from RNAcentral. Lineage: Eukaryota; Metazoa; Arthropoda; Insecta; Hymenoptera; Formicidae.
UCCCGACGCGAGCAUAGUCAUUCGAAUCCAGUAUUAGUGCGGUGUAGAGUGCUCGGUGUUUUGUAAUCCACUUACUCAAAUUCUCCUCUCUCUCUCUCUUUCUCUUUUUUCGUCUCUCUAUCUGUUCUUUUCUUUUUCUCACGUGACUACGAUCGAUUAGUGUGUAAAAAUGCCUUUCAAGCCCGUGGAACAUCCAAAAUGCCCUAAAUGUGGCAAAUCUGUGUAUGCUGCAGAAGAGCGAGUUGCCGGUGGAUUAAAAUGGCACAAAACGUGCUUCAAGUGCGGUCUUUGCAACAAGGCUCUCGACUCGACAAACUGCGCCGAGCACGAGCGCGAGCUGUAUUGCAAAGUCUGCCACGGCCGCAAGUUCGGUCCUAAAGGCUACGGUUUUGGUGGUGGAGCUGGAUGCCUGUCCAUGGACCAAGGCGAACAUCUUCAAGCGAAGAACGAGGGUGAAUUUUCGCGAGGUUCGAAUGCUAUUCUCGAACCUCGGGCUAUCGCCAAGGCACCCGAGGGAGAAGGAUGUCCUCGAUGCGGAGGGUACGUUUAUGCUGCAGAGCAGAUGUUGGCCCGAGGAAGGGCUUACCAUAAACUGUGCUUCAAGUGCAAAACGUGCCGCCGCACUUUGGACUCGACGCUUCAUUGCGAUGGUCCCGACCGCGAGAUAUACUGUCGAGCUUGCUAUCCGAAGAAAUUCGGUCCGCGGGGUGUCGGCCACGCCGGGAUUAUGUGGAUCGGGCUGCAGUGCGAUAUUGAGGACGAGGGCGAUGCGGCUCCUCGUACCACCGUGAUCGACACCGCGAUUAUCAAGGCCCCGCCCGGCAAGGGUUGUCCUCGCUGCGGUGGCGUCGUCUUCGCCGCCGAGCAGGUGCUCGCCAAGGGCCGCGAGUGGCACCGGAAGUGCUACAAGUGCCACGACUGCACCAAAACCCUGGACUCGAUCAUCGCCUGUGACGGCCCGGAUCGGGAUGUUUACUGCAAGACCUGUUACGGAAAGAAGUGGGGACCGCACGGAUACGGAUUCGCAUGUGGCUCGGGAUUCCUCCAGACCGACGGACUCACGGAGGAAGAAAUUUCGGCCAGUCGACCUUACUACAAUCCUGAUACGACCUCGAUUAAGGCGCCAGCUGGGCAGGGUUGUCCCCGUUGCGGUGGCAUGGUGUUUGCCGCUGAACAACAGCUCGCCAAGGGCACCAUGUGGCAUAAGAAGUGCUUCAAUUGCGCCGAGUGUCACCGACCCUUAGACUCCAUGCUGGCAUGCGAUGGCCCUGACAAGGAAAUCCAUUGCCGCGCGUGCUACGGAAAGCUCUUCGGGCCCAAAGGUUUCGGGUUCGGCCACAAACCGACUCUCGUCUCGACGAACGGAGAUCAUGCCCCUUCAUACAUCGACGCUAAGCCCCAGGUCGGCCAGAAGCGAAACGACGGGCACGGUUGCUCGCGCUGCGGUUACCCGGUGUACGCCGCCGAGCAGAUGAUCUCGAAGAAUCGCGUAUGGCACAAGCGGUGCUUCAGCUGCGGUGAAUGUAACCGUUCCCUGGAUUCGACGAACUUGAACGACGGUCCGGACGGGGACAUCUACUGCCGCGGUUGCUACAACCGGAACUUUGGGCCUAAAGGCGUGGGCUUCGGAAUGGGCGCGGGUACCCUCACGAUGGCCUAAUUGAUAGGCCCUACUCCCUCACACGCCGCUCGAGGAAAACCCUCGAUCCAGUCUUAUAUAUUAAUGCCAGCGAAACAGAGUGCAUCAUGGAAAUUAAAGAUGCGCUGCUUUUUAACUGUUUCGUGCAACAGAUCAAAAUUAUGCAGUAAUGACUGCAAAAACACUCUAUCAUGGACAAAUAUCAUUUCUAUAACUUCAGGACAAUAAUUUUGAUAUUUACAGCUGUAAUAAUUAAACACAUGGCAUCGAUUGCAGCGGAUAUUCGACGACGUCAUAAAUACGAAAAUAUCAAUCUAUAUAACCGGACUACGACCAGCAGCAACGAUGUAACCAACGACUAAGACGAGAAACUAAUUUAAUUAUGAUUUUCAAUAAAUGUGUACUUGAAA